RNAcentral lists this ribosomal RNA (600 nucleotides) under Enterobacteriaceae bacterium HGB0055. Its description in RNAcentral is "bacterial SSU rRNA". It matches the Rfam family "Bacterial small subunit ribosomal RNA", at positions 172 to 767 of the family's 1533-position model. The record is from RNAcentral. Lineage: Bacteria; Pseudomonadati; Pseudomonadota; Gammaproteobacteria; Enterobacterales; Enterobacteriaceae.
CAUAACGUCGCAAGACCAAAGAGGGGGACCUUCGGGCCUCUUGCCAUCGGAUGUGCCCAGAUGGGAUUAGCUAGUAGGUGGGGUAACGGCUCACCUAGGCGACGAUCCCUAGCUGGUCUGAGAGGAUGACCAGCCACACUGGAACUGAGACACGGUCCAGACUCCUACGGGAGGCAGCAGUGGGGAAUAUUGCACAAUGGGCGCAAGCCUGAUGCAGCCAUGCCGCGUGUAUGAAGAAGGCCUUCGGGUUGUAAAGUACUUUCAGCGGGGAGGAAGGGAGUAAAGUUAAUACCUUUGCUCAUUGACGUUACCCGCAGAAGAAGCACCGGCUAACUCCGUGCCAGCAGCCGCGGUAAUACGGAGGGUGCAAGCGUUAAUCGGAAUUACUGGGCGUAAAGCGCACGCAGGCGGUUUGUUAAGUCAGAUGUGAAAUCCCCGGGCUCAACCUGGGAACUGCAUCUGAUACUGGCAAGCUUGAGUCUCGUAGAGGGGGGUAGAAUUCCAGGUGUAGCGGUGAAAUGCGUAGAGAUCUGGAGGAAUACCGGUGGCGAAGGCGGCCCCCUGGACGAAGACUGACGCUCAGGUGCGAAAGCGUGGGGA